This is a long non-coding RNA of Olea europaea var. sylvestris, 1136 nucleotides long. RefSeq lists it as uncharacterized. The transcript is spliced from 2 exons. NCBI's taxonomy places the organism in Eukaryota, Viridiplantae, Streptophyta, Magnoliopsida, Lamiales, Oleaceae. The record is from RefSeq and is a predicted model, not a curated record.
GUUGUCUUCAUUCCUAAAAUUCCACCAAAAUCAUUCCCCCAAAAUCAAAAUAGCCCCAACCUCAACAAUCCGGUCCCGACUCCCUCAACAAUUUGGUCCCAAGAUCUUAUUCACCCACGUGAGUCUCUCCAAGGACAACAAUCUGGCUUGAACAUCCACUACGACAACAAUCCAAUUAUCAUCCAACAAGAAAUCUGGCUACCUCACCAAAGCCCGACUUUAGCCAUCUCCAAGUCGACAAAGAAUCAAAGAAAUCUAUGUACCUAUCCUGAUGACAGACAAAGGAAAAGAGCUAAUGGAAGAUGAGAAUGAUGUUUUGUUCACGGAGUGUGAUCUGGAGAAUGUUAUGGACGAUGUAAAUGUAGUCGAAAAUGAAAAGUUAUGAGGAGAUGCUCCGACUGUACCCCGAGGUGGGUAUGAUGUUUAACAGUUUUAAAGAGAUGUUAGAGUUCUACAAAAGAUAUGCUUAUAGCGUAGGUUUUCCGGUUAGGAAAAGAAAUUCGAAGAAGGGAGAUGACGGAGUUCUGCGGUAUGUGACUUUGUCAUGUGGUCGUGAAGGCCGAAGAAGUUAUGCUACAAGCGGUUUGUUGAAGCUGCACCCAACAAGUUAGACAGAUUGUAAGACAAGGAUAUCUGCAUCUUUGGAUAAUCUUGGAGUAUGGAGAAUUAACAAAAUGCACCUUGACCACAAUCAUAAAAAGUCUAGAUUAUUUCAAUGCAAUCGAGAAUUUAGUGCAAGUGUAAAAAGAAAGCUUGAGGAGAAUGACAUGGCUGGAAUUCCGUUGCACAAGAGUUACAACUCUGCAGUGGUGGAAGCUGGUGGAUAUGAGAGAAUGACUUGCAUAAAGAAGGAUUGUCAAAAUUAUAUUGAACAAGUGAGACGAUUAUGACUUGGAGAGGGAGAUGCCGCUGCAAUACAAUCCUAUUUUUCAAAAAUGCAAGCACGGUGUCCGGGAUUUUAUUUCAUUAUGGAUGUAGAUGAAGAGUCGCGACUUAAGAACGUCUUCUGGGUAAAUAAUAGAUGUAGGCAAGUGUACAAAGAAUUUGGCGAUGUUGUCACAUUUGAUACUACGUAUCUCAUUAAUAAGUAUGAUAUGUCUUUCGCGCCUUUUGUUGGUGUAAAUCACUACGGACAA